GCUUGUAAUAAUGUGCGACUAAUUUCCUUCGUUGUAAUGGUGCACGUGUUCUGUAAGGUUCAGGAAAGCAACCAGCAUGUGUGAAUUCCUCCUCAUCGCAGGCUCAGUAUCUGUGGGACAGUGGAGCUGGCCUCAUGAAGGCAAUCUGGGGUUUAUGAAAAAACAUGUGGUGCUGAUGCUGUUUUUAGGGCCCUCAGCAGUGAGGGGCAAGGCUGGCUCAGCAGAGCUGGCAGCCAAUUCCUCCCUGAGAUCUAUCCAGGAAAGCAGAGAGUACUGGGAAAUGUAGUCCCCCGGGCAGCCAUGACCAUAGGUCUAGCCUGGGGCAAAGCAUGCUGGGACUUAAAGGGCCUGUAUAAAGCACAUUCCAGGAGCUCCGGGAGAGAUGUAGGCGGAGUGGGUUAUGCUGAGAGGCAGUUCUGGAAUGGUGUGAUCUGGCCCAUGUUGUUAUCGGGGUCCUCUGACAUAAUCACUUCCAUUCAAGACAGUCAUGAUGGCAUAGGGAUAGGAUUGUCCAAAACGUCAGUGGGGUAAAAGCAGCAGCAGGGGAGGAAGAUCCAGUUUCCAUGGAAGUUUUCUGUGUAAUGAUGGACAGGUCAAGUUAAAUGGCAGGCACACAUGAUGGCCCAGGCUUGCUCCUGGGAUGAUGGAGCCCCAGCAGUGGUAAGUCUGGGUGGAACAUUGGCCCUGAUGGGUCUAGAGCUGACCUCAAAGUGGCAGGACUGCCCACUGGGAUGGGCUGAGGCCCGCUGCUCAGGAGCUGUGGCGAUUGAGUACCCACCAGGCGGCAGCCAUCCUAUUGCCAAGCCCAAGCACUGAAAAAUGACAAGUCAGGCGUCCAGAUCAGGACAUUGGCUUAAAGACUAUGAGAUUUAAAAAAAACAACAACAAAAGUUGGGUUCUUUUUGUCUUCAGUUUUCUGGCUUUAGGGUGAGCUCACUUCAUGUUUUCAAGCUUUCCUCAGAAAGCAUAAGGGCUGGAAACGUACUUUUAUUUGAAUGCAAUCUGUUGAUUUCAGCAGCUGAGGCUUUGAAAAACCACCAAAUACUGCGAGACUCACGAUAAAAUCUUAAGUUGGCAACACUGCAUCCACCAGCCGGGCUCCAAGAGCCCCAGAUUGGACUUCUUUAAAGCUGCCUUCGCCCAACAGAAUCUUGGGCAUUUGUCUUUCAUCUUCUGUUCAAACCCUCACUUGGUCCACACUUGCGUAUAUGGUCUUGGUGUUGGGAUAGACACACA
Molecule: long non-coding RNA, 1236 nt
Filed under: Chrysemys picta bellii (western painted turtle)
Lineage: Eukaryota; Metazoa; Chordata; Testudines; Emydidae
Description: lncRNA (ENSCPBG00000009397.1)
Source: RNAcentral